RNAcentral lists this long non-coding RNA (204 nucleotides) under Nicotiana benthamiana. Its description in RNAcentral is "long non-coding RNA (NBEN_LNC000714)". Lineage: Eukaryota; Viridiplantae; Streptophyta; Magnoliopsida; Solanales; Solanaceae. The record is from RNAcentral.
CAUGUAGUAAAACUAUCUAUUAGUUGAGGAUCGACAUCUUCAUCAAUGGGACUUGUGAAUGGGUGCUUUAUGUAAAAAAAUUUUGGACCAAAAAACGUGCUGCCUUCAGUACUGUGGAAUGGCGUGAAUGGUGAUCGUGCCUGUUUUCCAGGUAACCUUGUUCUUCCUUGAUGAAGAGGGGUUGAAUCAACUUGAAUUGGGUCA